AGCUGAACAGAUACCAUCUAUGUUGGCUCCCAACCUCGAUACACAAAAUCUGCUAAUAUCUCGUGCAUCAUCCACCAUCUGGCCAGACUAAGACCAAACAGCGACCUGGGAAGCCGGGAGCAGCAGAGUGAUGCCUUUCUUUCAAUCCCCAAAGUCCGGGAUGGUUAAACACGAAAGCAGGGCCUACCUCCCACUGGCCAUCCACAGCCGGGAGACUCUCCGGAGGUACCAGGGUGUAUGACGACCUAGAUACUGAGGAAGACGACACCAUGACACUUAGCGACACCUUUCGCAACAAUGAGGUGCCGCACACAGAAGCUGCAGCCGGCCCCAGCUGCUGACCAGCCAGAUAUUGGAGUGCUGUUACAGCGACAAGCACCAUCCAAGAUGGCCACCACAGAGGCCUUACUCGCUCUGGUGCAACCGACACUACAAGCCCACUCACCGGCACCACGGGCAGAGGAUGAUCAAAGCACCAUGCUCCCAGCCCUUAGAGAAUCAGGGGUUAAUGCCUUUGCCACAAAGCAUGACCUCCAACAAUGGAUGCAGGAACUCCAGAAUUUGUUUGCCGUGGAUAUCGGCAACCUGAAGGCAGAUGCUCGACAAACUACUGAGUGAGUGAGCGCCAUGGAGGAGGACAUUCUAAAUCUAAACAGCGGAGUAUCGAACCUUACAGAUACACUGCAGACAUUGCAAACAGCCCACCAGACGCUAGCAGUACACCACCCGAGAGGAUCGCACGCGCCACAACCACAUUAAACUCAGAGGGGUACCAGCAGCGAUCACCCCAGCUGAACUGCCACACUUUCUUAUGGCCACCAUCCUGCCUCCUUCAGCUGCCUAGAAAAUAACUCUGGAGGGCAUAUAUCGCUUACCGGCAGGGCUCAACUCACCUUCCAAAGAAGCUCGAGAUGUUAUUCUGCGCUGUGCCACAUCGCAAGACAAAACAACCAUAAGGACGGCGGUGAGAGGCAAGACCCCCCUGACAUUUGAAAGUUCCCAACUGCUCUUCUUUCAGGACUUAACAAGGGCCACGCUGCACUGGCGGAGAUCAUUGCACCACCUUAUCGGCCGCCUGAGAACAGGCGAUGGGGAACGCCAAGGGUCCUAACGAUCACUCAUAAUGGGACUACCCACAGAGCCAUGUCGGAGGCAGGUAUACCCACAAUCCUUACUCUCUUGGGACUGCCCAUGACCAGGGUCACGAAAGGCCCAUCCCAGAUUGGAGAUCCAGCUACUACAAUAGCAUUUACACCUCAAACCUUGAGCACCGACUCGGAUCCCUCACUGAAACCGCACACAGGAUCAUCCACGCUGGUCAGGCCGGAUACAACCUCAUCAGUAUACUGUUUUGUAAUGACUUUCUCAUUUUUGUUUCUCAUUAUGUCAGUAUGCCUACAGCCCUACUUCACCCGGUCUUGGCAAGUGCCAUGACCGGACCUAAUGAUAGUUACACAGAGCCACGUUAGUAUGGAGGAACCCCCAACUCCCCCCCGCCGCCCCCUUGGUUACGGAUAUCUACAAUCCUAGUUUUUAGCACUCUGCUUUCUCUUUAAGACUAUAUAAGUCGACUGACUAGUACAAAGCCGGAUAUGAUAUGCCUAGUACAAACUUACCUGUGCUAUUAAUCCCAGUUACUUAUGAUAGGUUUUACCUAGUGCAACAGCCCAUGGCGGCUAAAAGUUUCAAAGGUGCACAAGGCCGCCCAUAAGGCUCUGAUUGCCCAUACUGGACAACCAAAUGCGGCCUUUGCACGCCCCAUGCACCCUAGGGUGGUGCGUGUCCACUGAGGCGGCUAACUGAUGCAACAGUAAAGUUUUAACUUGUUUAUCUCCUGUUAUUACCUUCUAUUUUAUUUUACUUUGAUUUAUUAUGCUACAACUGUUUAACAACUUAAGGACCAAACUUCUGGAAUAAAAGGGAAUAAUGGCAUGUCACACAUGUCAUGUGUCCUUAAGGGGUUAAACAUUGAGUCUCAACCUCAUUGGGUACAAUACUGUGUUGUCUAAACUCCAAAUGGGGCCAUAAGCCUAGGAGUAAGCUCUUGCACUGAUACCGGUACUUGAAACGUGACAUGAUUAAAAAAGUAAAAAUGAGUUCAGUUUAACUUGAGAAGUUAUGUGACUCGACUACCCUUGUACUCUGAUAUGAUACAUCUCUUCCGUGAUAUUUCUUCAUGCACCUUCAAAAUAAAGAAUAAUAAAAAAAAGAAAAUGAUAUUUCAAACAACAUAACCACUUUACAUUAUUAUAGCGGUUAUGAUGAUAAUACAUUUUCAAGUGGUUUGACAAAAAAAGGAGAAUCUGUGGCACCCACAGCCCGUCC
This is a non-coding RNA of Pelobates cultripes (western spadefoot toad), 2325 nucleotides long. The record is from the annotation of a GenBank genome assembly. Lineage: Eukaryota; Metazoa; Chordata; Amphibia; Anura; Pelobatidae.